CUCCUUCAGAUUUUUCUGCCGCCACCGUGGGGAUCGAGUUUAUCCUGCGCGGUGUGCUCAUCUCCAUCGUCUCCCAUCGCUAUCCCUCUCCUUGGAUAUUUCUCGCGAUGCUUAUCUCCUCCCCGCGCGCAGCUUUUUCCAGCUCAGUUCCUUGCCGCGCCGCCGCCAAGUUCCCUGCCCGCUCCUCCUUCAGCUCCCAGCCGUCGAAGCUCUCUGCGCGCAGGGGCUUCCCAGCCAUGGCAGCGCCCGCCUCCCUGCUCCCAACGUCGUGCCCAGCUGCCUCUCUCUCUCCCUCAGCGCGCCUCCCCUGCAUCGCGCGCUCCCUGCUCCAAGCUUGCCGUCAAAGCUCCCCUGUCGCGCCCUUGGCUCGGCUCUGCGCGCCGCGCGCUGCUUUCCGAGCUCGCCCAAAUCAGACAGUGCCUUCUCUGCUCCUCCCCGUCUCCUUCCUCUACCUCCAGCUGCUUUCCCAUGGCCGGCGUAUGGCUUCGCGGUCGCCCAAUCUCCCUACUCGGUUCCUGCCGGUGCUCAGCUCCUGUUUGACCCGCUGCGCGGUUCUUCCCCACGACAUCGUUUUCCCUGCGUUCGCUCGGCCCUGAAGUUCCCUGGCGCUCGCCCAGCUCAGAUUUCGUUGCGCACUCCUUAGUUCGACACCUGAUGCUUCUCCAUGGAUGGCCGAUGCUGCUCCAUCGGUUCGCGCUCGUCGCGCACAUGGCCGGAGCUCUUCCCUGCGUCGUGUGCGUUCCGUCAUCCUUGCUGUGACUUCGCGUCGUGAAGUUUCCCUGCACGCGUCGAGCUCCCGCGCCGAAUCCAGCCCCAUGUUGAUGCGUCUCUAUUCCAACUUGUCAGCCACGGCCUCGCCUUGGUCUAUGCUGCAGCCCACCGUCAAAAUCGUCGGAGUCGCUCAACUCGCCAAUCGCAUCUUGGCCGGUCGUCGAUUUCUUUUUCGCCAUAGUACAACACCGUUGUUGUUAGAUCCGGUCUCCAACCCGCCAUGGCGCUUGCCGGACUUUGCCGGUGAAGUUUGUCGUCGUCCUCUGGUCCCAGCCCGACCCAUCCGUGCACUCGCUCCUCAUCCAUCGAGCUUCGCGCGUGCUCUUGUUUGUGGUCGAGCUGCUGAACUCGUCCUUCCUUGUUCCUGACUUCAUCGUCGCCAGAGUCCUCACUGGAUUUGUGUCCUCGUCAGCUAGCUCCAAGCCCGAUCUCGUCGUCGUUCUGUACGUCAUCAAGAAAUCCCAAGAAUCAGGUGAAGACGAAGCUAGCCGGGUGAUAUUCACCAAGUGCUCGACAAAAGCUCGAACAAGUCGUCGAUCACCAUCCUCAUCUACGUCAAGCCCCAAGCCGUGAAGACACUCUUAUGCUGGCCACGCGUCACCAGCUCGAUAAAAAGGAAUCCCAUGGGUAUCUGGUCAAGAAUAGAAACUGUGUGCCUCGCUCAUCAGACGUGUGUGAUCAAUGACGUCAACCGGAAACCGUCAUCGUGCUUCCGACUAUCGCGUCGAAUUAGUCAGGGUAAGCAAAUUUGUUAUUCGUGCUAGUGGAUUGAUGAAUGGUUUGACUAGGUAUAAUAUUUAUUAGAUUGUCUGAGUCGCUUUGGUAAUUUGAUCGAUGUCGUAGGAUGAAAGAGGUCGCAAUAGGUCCUAGUGCUUGCGGGAUUGCAGGUGUUAAAAAUGUGAUGUUUUAUUAAUAUAUAUGUGAUACACAGGUUAACCGGGAAAUUAGUAGCGAGAAGAAUUAAAUCGGUGCUUUGUAUCUGAUGCGUGGUCGAAGUAACGUUACGGAAAGUAGGUC
Molecule: unclassified non-coding RNA, 1788 nt
Filed under: Zea mays
Lineage: Eukaryota; Viridiplantae; Streptophyta; Magnoliopsida; Poales; Poaceae
Description: misc RNA Zm00001eb300460
Source: RNAcentral